Molecule: ribosomal RNA, 143 nt
Filed under: uncultured Pelotomaculum sp.
Lineage: Bacteria; Bacillati; Bacillota; Clostridia; Eubacteriales; Desulfotomaculaceae
Description: partial 16S ribosomal RNA
Rfam family: Bacterial small subunit ribosomal RNA
Source: RNAcentral
AGGGAAGCGAAGCCGUGAGGUGGAGCAAAUCCCAAAAAAGCCGGUCUCAGUUCGGAUUGCAGGCUGCAACCCGCCUGCAUGAAGUCGGAAUCGCUAGUAAUCGCAGGUCAGCAUACUGCGGUGAAUACCGGUUCCCGGGCCUU